AACCGCGGUUAUACGAGAGGCCCAAAUUGACGCACCACGGCGUAAAGUGUGAUUAAAGAUUAAAUUAAACUAGAACCAAAUACCCCCUAUGCUGUCAUACGCCAUGGGGGUUAUGAAGUCCGACAACGAAAGUGGUUCUAUAAACCUUGAGCUCACGACAGCUAAGACA
RNAcentral lists this ribosomal RNA (169 nucleotides) under Gymnothorax enigmaticus. Its description in RNAcentral is "partial 12S rRNA". Lineage: Eukaryota; Metazoa; Chordata; Actinopteri; Anguilliformes; Muraenidae. RNAcentral also lists the same sequence under 1 other name. The record is from RNAcentral.